RNAcentral lists this non-coding RNA (23 nucleotides) under Gallus gallus (chicken). RNAcentral also lists the same sequence under 1 other name. The record is from RNAcentral. Lineage: Eukaryota; Metazoa; Chordata; Aves; Galliformes; Phasianidae.
GGGAAUACCGGGUGCUGUAGGCU